UUGGACGACCCCUCGUAAUGAUAAUAAACAUAUUUUCCGAGCAGCACUGUCUUGGUUGCUAUACAAUACGAAGUCGUCGCCAGGUUAUAUGUUACCGUAUCAAAAUAAACAAACAGUGGUAUAUUCGUACCCCAUGAAAAGUUCCCUAUUUGAAACUGCAGUUGAUAAAAUUGCACUGAAUCAAUACCGAAGACGCGAAAUAAUACAGAAAUAAGUUUGGCAAAUAGUUAAAAAUCUCCUGACAAAAUAAUGUGUGCAGCGUUACAUUCCCUCGAGUCUUGACUCACACCUGUAGAUAUACUUGGCUACAUGGUAGAUUAACUGUAGCAAACGGUGAUAGUUUCUCAGCUUUUUUUCGCAUCCGCAUCAUUGUGCGAAAAUCCCAUAUAUUUAUUUAUAUUAAAUGUAUACAGUUCAUCAAAUGAAAUCUGAAAAAAUAAAUAAAAUAUACGAUGGAUUA
Molecule: long non-coding RNA, 460 nt
Organism: Malaya genurostris
Lineage: Eukaryota; Metazoa; Arthropoda; Insecta; Diptera; Culicidae
Exons: 2
Source: RefSeq, a predicted model, not a curated record